Long non-coding RNA from Micropterus dolomieu (smallmouth bass), 623 nucleotides. RefSeq lists it as uncharacterized. NCBI's taxonomy places the organism in Eukaryota, Metazoa, Chordata, Actinopteri, Centrarchiformes, Centrarchidae. The transcript is spliced from 2 exons. The record is from RefSeq and is a predicted model, not a curated record.
CUCGUUAGCCCUGAUCCCGCUCACCUGUGUUGCUCCUGCCCCGCUCGUUAGUCCCUGUGUAUAUGUAUGCCUGCUUGUCUCUCCAGUCUUUGUCACGUCCUUGCGUCUAUGUUGAGUGUUCUGCGUGGUGCUCUGUUCCCUGGAUUUCUGGUUUGUCCCCCCAUUUUGGAUUACGCUGUCUUUGUGUUGGAUUUGCCUUCUUCUGGAUUACCUUUGUUUUGACCCUUGCUCCGAGCUUCCACUUUUUUUAAUUCUGGGCGUGUCAGGGUUUCUGAGUUGGCACCUGCUGGUAACCACGCACCUGUUCCUGAUCAGCCAUCCCUACCUCUUAAGGAGAGACCAGACUUCCAUUCCCUGCCGGAUUGUUAAGUCGCGUACCGUAGGUCUUACCAAAGCAUCUAGCCUUAAGCCUGUUAAUCUAGCAACCAGUUUGCUUUUACUAACUUCUCUCUCCAGAUCACCUGCUCUACCUUCUCUGUCUGCCUGCCAGUUCCAAGUCCCUCAAAGCCGAGAUCCAAACUUUCCAGCCAGCCACGCCAGCCAGCCAGCCCUCACACUCCACUGCUUGGAAAGAGACUCCCUGCCACCUCACCCUGCCUCAGUCAAUAAACUCUUUAACUGCU